AGAGUUUGAUCCUGGCUCAGAACGAACGUUGGCGGCGUGGAUUAGGCAUGCAAGUCGAGCGAGAACCCCGGCUUCGGCUGGGGGGACAGCGGCAAAAGGGUGAGUAAUACAUAGCUAACGUACCCCUCGGACUGGGAUAGCCGUGGGAAACUGCGGGUAAUACCGGAUAAUGUCUUCGGGUGGCAUCUCCUGAAGACCAAAUGGUGCUUCCGCCGAGGGAGCGGGCUAUGUCCUAUUAGCUAGUUGGUGAGGUAACGGCUCACCAAGGCGUUGAUGGGUAGCGGGCGUGAGAGCGUGACCCGCCACACUGGGACUGAGACACUGCCCAGACUCCUACGGGAGGCUGCAGUCGAGAAUCAUUGUCAAUGGGCGCAAGCCUGAACAUGCGACGUCGCGUGGAGGAUGAAGGCCCUCGGGUUGUAAACUCCUGUCAGGGGGGAUGAAUGGCCAGUGAUUCGAUUUCUGGUCACACUUGACAAAACCCCAAAGGAAGCACCGGCUAACUCCGUGCCAGCAGCCGCGGUAAUACGGAGGGUGCAAACGUUGUUCGGAAUUACUGGGCUUAAAGCGCACGUAGGCGGCUUGGUCAGUCAGGUGUGAAAUCCCUCGGCUCAACCGAGGAACGGUGCCUGAUACUGCCAGGCUCGAGUAAGGUAGGGGGGCGUGGAACUCCGGGUGGAGCGGUGAAAUGCGUAGAUAUCCGGAGGAACGCCGGUGGUGAAAACGGCGCCCUGGGCCUUUACUGACGCUGAGGUGCGAAAGCUAGGGGAGCGAACGGGAUUAGAUACCCCGGUAGUCCUAGCCGUAAACGAUGGGUACUAGGUAGUGGAGGUUCCGAUGCCGCCUCUGCCGAAGCAAAAGUGGUAAGUACCCCGCCUGGGGAGUAUGGUCGCAAGGCUAAAACUCAAAGGAAUUGACGGGGGCUCACACAAGCGGUGGAGCACGUGGCUUAAUUCGAGGCAACGCGAAGAACCUUAUCCUGGAUUUGACAUGCAUGGAUUAGCCACCUGAAAGGGUGGUGACGCUCUUUGAGUGGAACAUGCACAGGUGCUGCAUGGCUGUCGUCAGCUCGUGUCGUGAGAUGUUGGGUUAAGUCCCGUAACGAGCGAAACCCUUGCCCUUAGUUGCCAGCGGGUCAUGCCGGGGACUCUAAGGGGACUGCCGGUGUUAAACCGGAGGAAGGUGGGGAUGACGUCAAGUCCUCAUGGCCUUUAUGUCCAGGGCUGCACACGUGCUACAAUGGCAGGUACAGAGGGUCGCGAAGCCGCGAGGCUAAGCUAAUCCCAAAAAACCUGUCUCAGUUCGGAUUGCAGUCUGCAACUCGACUGCAUGAAGUCGGAAUCGCUAGUAAUCGCGGAUCAGCAAUGCCGCGGUGAAUGUGUUCCUGAGCCUUGUACACACCGCCCGUCAAGCCACGAAAGCGGGGGGCAUCCGAAGUCGCUGAGCUAACCCUUCGGGGAGGCAGGCGCCGAAGAUGAACCUCGCGAUUGGGACUAAGUCGUAACAAGGUAACCGUAGGGGAACCUGCGGCUGGAUCACCUCCUU
Molecule: ribosomal RNA, 1545 nt
Filed under: uncultured bacterium
Lineage: Bacteria
Description: bacterial SSU rRNA
Rfam family: Bacterial small subunit ribosomal RNA
Source: RNAcentral